GAUUAUGGCUCAGGAUUAACGCUGGCGGCGUGCCUAAUACAUGCAAGUCGAAUGGUAGCAAUACCAUGGCGAACGGGUGAGUAACACGUAGGUAACCUGUCUUUAAGCCGAGGAUAACCAUUGGAAACGAUGGAUAAUACUGGAUAGGACAUUUGAAGGCAUCUUUAGAUGUUUAAAGAUUUAUCACUUAGAGAGGGGCCUGCGGCGCAUUAGCUAGUUGGUGAGGUGAAGGCUUACCAAGGCGAUGAUGCGUAGCCGGACUGAGAGGUUGAACGGCCACAAUGGAACUGAGAACGGUCCAUACUCCUACGGGAGGCAGCAGUAGGGAAUUUUCGGCAAUGGGCGGAAGCCUGAACCCGAGCAACGCCGCGUGAACGAAGAAGUAUUUCGGUAUGUAAAGUUCUUUUAUUAGGGACGAAAAGACAGAUUGACGGUACCUAAUGAAUAAGCUCCGGCUAACUACGUGCCAGCAGCAGC
RNAcentral lists this ribosomal RNA (477 nucleotides) under uncultured bacterium. Its description in RNAcentral is "bacterial SSU rRNA". It matches the Rfam family "Bacterial small subunit ribosomal RNA", at positions 15 to 518 of the family's 1533-position model. The record is from RNAcentral.